GGGACAUAUUAAAAAAGAGGAUAGGCCUCUUCUUAGAAAAAAAAAGAGGACAGACUAAGCGGAGAAUCGAGGGUUUCGGCUUCCUUGUCAUCUCGCCGUCUCCGACGCCGGCGACCAGGGAGCGAGACCUCCAACCCCCGUCCUCUCGCCGGCUGCGUGUUUCCCCGUUCCGUAGACCAGGUAUGAAGAGGGCCGCGCCGUCGGAGGAGCCGGUGGAGCUCUCUUCCGGCGACGACCUGAGCUCGGAUUCCGACGAUGAGGCCGGGAACGGGAAAGGCGAGAACUCCUUCCGGCUGCCCAUGUCCUCCAAAUCUGCAGCUCCAGCAAAAGGUGCAUUGAUCAGGAGGGCUGAAAUGUAUCAAGAGUACAUGAAGCACAUCCCAAUUCCUGAUCACUGCAGCUCCUUGAUCCCAUCCACAUCAUGGCUGGGACUCGGAAGAUCGGUGAAGCAGUUGUACGAGCAGCCCUUGCAUUACCUCACCAACAUCCUCUUGAGACAGUGGGAUCAACAGAGGGUUGGGAGCGAUAAUGAGCACCAGCCUCUGGAUGCUAUCAUUCACCCUAUGAAAGCUCAAGCCCUCAUUUGGGCCACUGAAGAAGUCCAUAGGCUGACCACCUCUAGUGACCACUUAGAGAAGGUCUGGGCUAAAGACCCCAUGUAUCAUGCUAACAUAGAUCCAGUGUUCCCUUCCCUAAAGUUGCAUUAGCAAACAUCGCAAGUUGGACCGUCUUAUCCUGUCUAUUUUGUUUCUGCCUGCUGUGUAAUCUGGCACAUUUUGGUUGUUAGCGAAGUGAUAUGAACCAUAUAUCACUGAUGUUAAACGUACGAUAUGUCAUGGUCAGGGUCUCUUUUAACGCUGAUUUUAGCUCUCUGAACAGCGUCUUUGUUGAAGAAGAAGAAACCUGGUGGUGUGGAUUUCAGUGCUUUGAGCCGGCACGGGUAUCGUGGCGGACCAUCUAUACUGACAGUUGCUCCUCCAAAGGUUGAACCUAACUGGACUUGGUCCACUGGGAAAGAUCGCAACGAGAAGGAAGUUCUAACCGAGUCUUUUGAAGAGCGGGAACGCACAAGGGCUGCAGUAACUGAAGGAGAGAAGCUUAUCGGUGUGAUGAACCCCCAACCAAGGCAGACCGAGAAAGAGAAGGAUGCUGCUUCAUUCUCACAGAAGGAGAAGCGGAAGAGAGACCGUGGGCAGGCCAGCAGGGGUAAGAACUACGUCGAGGAGGAGAAGCGGCUCCUGAGGGGGAGUGGUGUCUACUCUGGCUUCGAUACUUGACAGUGUCCAGAACAUAUGUUAUUUGUCCGUGUUAGCUUCCGUCGUUACUGUUGGUGUGUCUGCUGUUUAGUUUUGUCGCGAAGUUCACUCUGGUCAAUCGGGGCUAUGCUUAUUCUGUAUCACCUAUCUGUCUUUGGGCUGGUUUAAACUUUGACACGCCUGCUAUUUUGCCAGAGCAGUGCUCCCGUGUCCAUCUUCGGCUAUGAUAGAUCCUGCGAACCAGCUUUGCGGCAAUGUAUCAUAGCCAUUCUUACCGGUGAGAUCUGUGUAUUAUGGUGAAGUGUUUUUUCUCUUUCUCUUUUUUGUCUCGGAAGGCUGACUAAAUGGGUUUACCGACUAAACUGGUCAACUCAAUGAACUCGUCCACAAAAGGCACAGCAUUCUUAUGUUCUUGCUAAUGAAAUUACAGGGAGAGAUAUCAAAUGGUAUUGGAUCAGAAUCGUGCGUUCUUGAUUUUCGCAGAGACAGGC
Molecule: ribosomal RNA, 1747 nt
Filed under: Triticum aestivum (bread wheat)
Lineage: Eukaryota; Viridiplantae; Streptophyta; Magnoliopsida; Poales; Poaceae
Description: partial small subunit ribosomal RNA
Source: RNAcentral